GGCUGGUCCAAAGGUAGUGAGUUAUCUCACUUGAUUGUUCAUAAUCAGUUAUAGAUUAAACUCCUAGGUCUACUACUGUCCCCCCUUCUCAUUACUGCACUUGAUUAGUCUUAC
This 114-nucleotide Y RNA is filed under the name Prolemur simus (greater bamboo lemur). RNAcentral describes it as "Y RNA (ENSPSMG00000008340.1)". It matches the Rfam family "Y RNA". Rfam says of the family: Y RNAs are components of the Ro ribonucleoprotein particle (Ro RNP), in association with Ro60 and La proteins. The Y RNAs and Ro60 and La proteins are well conserved, but the function of the Ro RNP is not known. The record is from Rfam by way of RNAcentral. Lineage: Eukaryota; Metazoa; Chordata; Mammalia; Primates; Lemuridae.